RNAcentral lists this ribosomal RNA (440 nucleotides) under uncultured bacterium. Its description in RNAcentral is "partial 16S ribosomal RNA". It matches the Rfam family "Bacterial small subunit ribosomal RNA", at positions 338 to 795 of the family's 1533-position model. The record is from RNAcentral.
CCUACGGGAGGCAGCAGUGGGGAAUAUUGCACAAUGGGGGAAACCCUGAUGCAGCGACGCCGCGUGAGUGAAGAAGUAAUUCGUUAUGUAAAGCUCUAUCAGCAGGGAAGAAAAUGACGGUACCUGAGUAAGAAGCCCCGGCUAACUACGUGCCAGCAGCCGCGGUAAUACGUAGGGGGCAAGCGUUAUCCGGAUUUACUGGGUGGAAAGGGAGCGUAGACGGCAGUGCAAGUCUGGAGUGAAAGGCGGGGGCUCAACCCCCGGACUGCUCUUGAAACUGGAGGGCUGGAGUGCAGGAGAGGUAAGUGGAAUUCCUAGUGUAGCGGUGAAAUGCGUAGAUAUUAGGAGGAACACCAGUGGCGAAGGCGACUUACUGGACUGUAACUGACGUUGAGGCUCGAAAGCGUGGGGAGCAAACAGGAUUAGAUACCCCUGUAGUC